This 253-nucleotide ribosomal RNA is filed under the name uncultured bacterium. RNAcentral describes it as "partial 16S ribosomal RNA". It matches the Rfam family "Bacterial small subunit ribosomal RNA", at positions 524 to 776 of the family's 1533-position model. The record is from RNAcentral.
UACGGAGGGGGCCAGCGUUGCUCGGAAUCACUGGGCGUAAAGGGCUCGUAGGCGGUCUGAUAAGUCCUGUGUGAAAUCCCUUGGCUUAACCAAGGAAUUGCGCCGGAUACUGUCGGACUAGAGGCCGGGAGAGGGAAGCGGAAUUCCGAGUGUAGCGGUGAAAUGCGUAGAUAUUCGGAGGAACACCGGUGGCGAAGGCGGCUUCCUGGACCGGUUCUGACGCUGAGGAGCGAAAGCUAGGGUAGCAAACAGG